This 275-nucleotide unclassified non-coding RNA is filed under the name Hevea brasiliensis (rubber tree). Lineage: Eukaryota; Viridiplantae; Streptophyta; Magnoliopsida; Malpighiales; Euphorbiaceae. The record is from RNAcentral.
GCUGUUUAUGGUCUUCUGUCCCUAGAGUUUGUCGCUCACAAUUUAGCUCAAUAUUGUUGGUGUGUUGUUUUAGAGUUUGUAUGGAUUGAGGAGGCUCCUGAUUCUGUUGCUCCUCUAACCCUUCUGAUUUGUGAAAGUUUAUCUUGUUGUGGGUCAAAAAAAAAUCACUGUUGGGACAUACAAUUAACUAUUUGCCACCAUCACUGCUAGAAUGUGCAUAAGAGGAGAAAGGCCAGCUACAAGUAAAGAAUUAGACAGUGAGUAUCAUAUCAAGC